This 484-nucleotide ribosomal RNA is filed under the name uncultured bacterium. RNAcentral describes it as "partial 16S ribosomal RNA". It matches the Rfam family "Bacterial small subunit ribosomal RNA", at positions 28 to 507 of the family's 1533-position model. The record is from RNAcentral.
AUUGAACGCUGGCGGCAUGCUUUACACAUGCAAGUCGAACGGCAGCGCGGGCUUCGGCCUGGCGGCGAGUUGCGAACGGGUGAGUGAUGCAUCGGAACAUGCCCAGCAGUUGGGGAUAGCCCGGCGAAAGCCGGAUUAAUACCCCAUACGCCCAGAGGGUGAACGCGGGGGACCGAAAGGCCUCGCGAUCUUGGAGCGGCCGAUGUCGGAUUAGCUAGUUGGUGGGGUAAAGGCUUACCAAGGCGACGAUCCGUAGCUGGUCUGAGAGGACGACCAGCCACACUGGGACUGAGACACGGCCCAGACUCCUACGGGAGGCAGCAGUGGGGAAUUUUGGACAAUGGGGGCAACCCUGAUCCAGCCAUGCCGCGUGCGGGAAGAAGGCCUUCGGGUUGUAAACCGCUUUUGUUCGGGAAGAAAUCCUCUGGGCUAAUACCCCGGGGGGAUGACGGUACCGGAAGAAUAAGCACCGGCUAACUACGUG